RNAcentral lists this unclassified non-coding RNA (214 nucleotides) under plant metagenome. RNAcentral describes it as "partial contains small subunit ribosomal RNA and internal transcribed spacer 1". The stretch from base 1 to 46 matches the Rfam family "Eukaryotic small subunit ribosomal RNA", at positions 1786 to 1831 of the family's 1831-position model. The record is from RNAcentral.
AAGUCGUAACAAGGUCUCCGUAGGUGAACCUGCGGAGGGAUCAUUAAUGAGAACUUGCCCCUCGGGGUGGAUCUCCCACCCUUUGUGUACCUUACCUUUGUUGCUUUGACGAGCCCGCCCCUCGGGGCCGCCGGCCAUACCAGGCUGUCCAGCGCUCGUCAGAGGCCCAAAACUCUUGUAAUUUUGUCGUCAGAGUGCUAUAUAAUAGUUAAAA